GUUCCCCUUGAACGAGGAAUUCCUAGUAAGCGCAAGUCAUCAGCUUGUGCUGAUUACGUCCCUGCAAAAUGUACACACCGCCCGUCGCUUUUACCGAUUGAGUGUUCGGGUGAGCCUUCUCGAUAGUUGCAAAACUAAAAAUUAAGCAAACCUUAACACUUAGAGGAAAAAGAAGUCGUAGCAAGGUUUCCGUAGGUGAACCUGCGGAAGGAU
This 213-nucleotide ribosomal RNA is filed under the name Vaginicola crystallina. Its description in RNAcentral is "partial 18S ribosomal RNA". It matches the Rfam family "Eukaryotic small subunit ribosomal RNA", at positions 1592 to 1826 of the family's 1831-position model. The record is from RNAcentral. Lineage: Eukaryota; Ciliophora; Oligohymenophorea; Sessilida; Vaginicolidae.